CCGUACUAGAUGGGGAGUUAGUGCCUCCCUGUAACCCGUGGCUAUAUCGGGGUCGAAUUCCUUCCGGAGGCCGAGCCUUCGGUUCGGGUCCGUUCGGCCGCAGGCUGUCCGGGUCCCACGCAAUGAGAUGCCGUGAACCCCGUCAGGACCGGAAGGUAGCAGCGGUAAGCGGAACGUUCUCGUGUGCCGUGGACCGCCUGGAUAAGCGGUGGUUGAAAACGCCGGAUCGGCGGCGAGGUCGAGGGGAGGUGUACGG
Molecule: signal recognition particle RNA, 256 nt
Filed under: Deltaproteobacteria bacterium
Lineage: Bacteria; Pseudomonadati; Myxococcota; Myxococcia
Description: signal recognition particle sRNA large type
Rfam family: Bacterial large signal recognition particle RNA
About the family: The signal recognition particle (SRP) is a universally conserved ribonucleoprotein involved in the co-translational targeting of proteins to membranes. Archaeal SRP consists of a 7S RNA and homologues of the eukaryotic SRP19 and SRP54 proteins.
Source: RNAcentral